UACGGGGGGGGCAAGCGUUGUUCGGAAUUACUGGGCGUAAAGCGUGCGCAGGCGGCGCGUUAAGACAGGUGUGAAAGCCCCGAGCUUAACUUGGGAAUUGCGCUUGUGACUGGCGUGCUGGAGUGUGGCAGAGGGAGGUGGAAUUCCACGUGUAGCAGUGAAAUGCGUAGAUAUGUGGAGGAACACCGAUGGCGAAGGCAGCCCCCUGGGUUAACACUGACGCUCAUGCACGAAAGCGUGGGGAGCAAACAGG
RNAcentral lists this ribosomal RNA (253 nucleotides) under uncultured bacterium. RNAcentral's name for it is "partial 16S ribosomal RNA". It matches the Rfam family "Bacterial small subunit ribosomal RNA", at positions 524 to 776 of the family's 1533-position model. The record is from RNAcentral.